CCUACGGGUGGCAGCAGUGAGGAAUAUUGGUCAAUGGACGCAAGUCUGAACCAGCCAUGCCGCGUGCAGGAAGACGGCUCUAUGAGUUGUAAACUGCUUUUGUAAGAGGGUAAACGCAGAUAAGCGUAGCUGUCUGAAAGUAUCGUACGAAUAAGGAUCGGCUAACUCCGUGCCAGCAGCCGCGGUAAUACGGAGGAUUCAAGCGUUAUCCGGAUUUAUUGGGUUUAAAGGGUGCGUAGGCGGUCUGAUAAGUGAGAGGUGAAAUCCCGAGGCUCAACUUCGGAAUUGCCUCGGAUACUGUUCGGCGAGAGAGUAGUGGCGGUAGGCGGAAUGUAUGGUGUAGCGGUGAAAUGCUUAGAGAUCAUACAGAACACCGAUUGCGAAGGCAGCUUACCAAGCUACUUCUGACGUUGAGGCACGAAAGCGUGGGGAGCAAACAGGAUUAGAUACCCGAGUAGUC
Molecule: ribosomal RNA, 460 nt
Filed under: uncultured bacterium
Lineage: Bacteria
Description: partial 16S ribosomal RNA
Rfam family: Bacterial small subunit ribosomal RNA
Source: RNAcentral